Molecule: long non-coding RNA, 1371 nt
Filed under: Parus major (Great Tit)
Lineage: Eukaryota; Metazoa; Chordata; Aves; Passeriformes; Paridae
Description: lncRNA (ENSPMJG00000005047.1)
Source: RNAcentral
AUGGGAGCCGAGUUCUGGGGCUGGAAAUCCAGUCAAAUGUCACCCGCGCUGGGCUGUCUCAGGAUGUUGAACCACGAUGGUCAUUUCCUGCCCAGCAAGCGGCCACCGAGCCCACCCGAGCUCCGUGCCCAGAGGCGCUUGAGCUGCCGAGCCCAGAGGAUCCCCGCGCUCCCGAGCAGCCCCUGCGCAGCCCUCGCUCGGCCGCCGGUGAGCCAGGACCGUCCCUCCUCCCUCCUGUCCCUUCUCCUGUCCGUCUGUCCCCUCUGCCAUCUCUCUGUCCCUUCUCCUGUCCGUCUGUCACCUUUACCAAGCGUCUGUCCCCUCUCCCAUCCGUCCGUCCCUUCUCCCGUUUAUCUGUCCCUGGUCCUGUCCGCCUGUCCCUUCUUCUGUCCUUUACCAUCCCUCUGCCAUCUCUCUGUCCCUUCUCCUGUCCAUCUGUCCCCUCUGCCGUGUCUCUGUCCCUUCUCCUGUCCAUCUGUCCCCUCUGCCGUCUGUCUGUCCCUUCUCCUGUCCAUCUGUCCCUUCUCCUGUCCAUCUGUCCCUUCUCCUGUCCAUCUGUCCCCUCUCCCAUCUCUCUGUCCCUUCUCCCAUCUCUCUGUCCCUUCUCCUGUCCAUCUGUCCCCUCUGCCGUCUGUCUGUCUCUUCUCCUGUCCAUCUGUCCCCUCUGCCGUCUGUCUGUCUCUUCUCCUGUCCAUCUGUCCCCUCUGCCGUCUGUCUGUCCCUUCUCCUGUCCAUCUGUCCCCUCUCCCGUCCGUCUGUCCGGUUUUCCAUCUGUCUCUGCCGGGUCCCCGCGGCUCUCAGGACCUGCAGCGCAGAGAGCUCGGGAUGUCCAGGAGCCCUGGGGUGGGAGGUCCAGCCUCUCCCUGGUUUCGGGGCCGGUGGGUGUCAGCCUGGGUGGGUGCCACAGGCGUGACGCUCUCACGGGGGACACCCGGCUGUGGUCCCGGCUUGCCAGGCUCCGAGAGAAGCGGGAGGACCCCUCUGGAAGCUCCGGCAGCAUUCCCAAGGGAACGGCUGCUCCUGAGCGCUUCCAGCGGCGCUGCUGGACGGGGUCCGCAGCGUCUUCGCUGUGCGGAUGCAGCUGCGCUGGGAUCGGAGCUCUCACUUAGGGCAAUAAGAGGACGUUCAGGUCAACUGCAUUUCCCUGAAAUUUAUAAUUUUCUCACCCUUGGACGUCCCGAUGGCUCCCGGCAGAGUGAGAGCGGCUGGGAAGUGACCACACCCCGGGGGUUCGGGUGGGAGCGGCGGCUUUCCCGCUGGAGCUGUCUCUGGGACAGAGUCACUGGCACCUGGCUGUGUCCCAGGCUCUGGGACAGGGAGCAGCCGCCACAUGUGGUGACCCUUGUUUGUGGCAUUUAUCUUGGGAUGUGA